RNAcentral lists this microRNA (22 nucleotides) under Mus musculus (house mouse). RNAcentral's name for it is "mmu-miR-666-3p". Its record names the gene mmu-miR-666-3p. The record is from miRBase by way of RNAcentral. Lineage: Eukaryota; Metazoa; Chordata; Mammalia; Rodentia; Muridae.
GGCUGCAGCGUGAUCGCCUGCU